Molecule: long non-coding RNA, 2020 nt
Organism: Prunus persica (peach)
Lineage: Eukaryota; Viridiplantae; Streptophyta; Magnoliopsida; Rosales; Rosaceae
Exons: 5
Source: RefSeq, a predicted model, not a curated record
ACCCUUAGGAAGGGUACUAGACUGGAAACCUGAGUCUCAACAUCGCCUUGGCCAAACAAAGGAAAAUGCCAGCAUUCCCCACCAACUCGACGCUCAUUUCUUCUUAUUUGGUUUAGAAGAGCAAUUGAACAACAAGCACCAGUGGUCUAGUGGUAGAAUAGUACCCUGCCACGGUACAGACCCGGGUUCGAUUCCCGGCUGGUGCAUUUGUUUUUCCCAACCUUUUUUUUUUCCCACCUUUUUUUUAUUCCCGACAUUGUGACCGAAACCUGAAACAGCAGAGGUUUCUUUGUUUUGUUCCAUUUUGCAUAGAAACCAUAACCAAACACGGGAUCCUUCUUUCCCGACAUUUCUGCAUUGAAGAAAUGGGUUUUUCCUUUUUGGUGAGCUCAGAGGUAAGAUUCCAAACCAAAACUGUGUUCCAUGGUACAAAUCUUUUGAAUUAGACAACAGUCUGAAUCUGGAACUUAUGCGGGUCAUCAUGGUUUAUCUGUCAAUAUGCUGAUCGCAUGUAGCAGUUCAAUGAUUUCUGUGAAACUGCUUUCAUUGGUUGGCAAAACGGUUGAUGGCUGCUGCAAAUGCUGGCUCAUUUGGAACUUGGGUUUUACAAGUACAGCAGAAGGGCAUGGAAUUUUCUGUUCUUCUAUAUAAGAAAUAGGACUUUUACCUUGGAAUGUAUGGUACUUUUAAGUCUUUGUGGUAAAUAUAUUUCAUCGGUGAAAGAUAGAGCGAACGGGGUUUAUUAAUUGCAUUUAAGAAAUCCAAGGCAUAAAUUAAAAAAACUGUACGUCGAAACUUGAUUGUGGGCUCAUGCUACUGGCUGGACAUGAAUGGAUGGUGGAUUGGAUCUUAUUUUGUACUUUCACAACCAUCCAAUCAUGGUGCGCAACUAACAUCUUAGAACAACUGCAAAUGGUGCAGAACCUUUCCAUAGCUCAUUGGCAAGUAACCAAAUUGUAUUUUAAUUGUUGCUGCUUCCUUCAUCAUUUCAUGACUGUAAUUAAGUAUUACUUUUCAGCCUUCUAGGGAUUUUUUAGAGGUUUCUUAAAAAUAAAAAAUAAAAAUCUGAAAAGAACGGUUUAUCAUUAUUUGAUUAACUUAUAUAUUUUUUUUUUUACAAAUAGUUACAAGUAGAACAUGAUUAGUCUGUCAUCAUCAACUCAUAAACACUCCCAUCAUCUUGUAAAUUUUGUGUUGUCUUCACAAUCACAGUCAGUUUCUCAAUGGAUACCUUCAUUCUAUCCUAACUCUUCCUUUUGAAGAUAAGUAUUUCCAAUCCAUUGAAUUAUUUAUCUUUUCAUGCGUAACAUUGUUUAUUGAUGAUGCAUGCUGUCCUUGGUUUCAGUCUCCUUGCUAAGUUCUCAUAAACAGAUUAUCAGCGCAAGAUACUUUUGCAUUUAUUGUUGGGAUGCUAGUUAUUGGCAUUGUGUGACAAAAAAACUGUCGAAAACUGAAUGAUGACAACAAGGGAAUCACUCUUCAACUAAUAUUGUCAAUGUCUUUCGAAAAUAAGCAUGUCAUCUUCAAAAACACUGCUAAAACAUCGGAGGGACAGAGACGCAGGCUUCCAUGGACUAUAUACAGCUGUGUCUUUUCUGGUAUCUUGAUUCGAAAUUCAGCAUUCGGGAUCAACUCGCCGGUAACAUGAUCAGUUCGCGUCCUCUACCGACUGGCAUGGAUAAUCCACUACCAUGGUUUGCAUACUUAUGCACCCAAAAACCUUCUGUUAGAAAGACAUUAAAGGUUUUUUGAAUAUCAAACCAGGGUAAAUAAAGAGUUAAAAGUAUAUAUAUUUAGGGAGAAGAAUAGUAAAAGCAUGAUCUUUAUAGUUCAUGUCUAUCCUCAACUGAUGCUCAGAGUUUGUGGAUCUUAUGAUAUGGCCAGUAAAACAAAUCUUUAAAUCUAUCUAAUUUAAGGUUUUCCUUUUUUGGGAUUUUCUCUGCUAUAUAUUAUUUCUUGAGCAAAUCCGGUGCUGUAUUUGUGGUGUGAGUGUUAAGAAUAUCUUAUUUUAUUUCAUCUA